Molecule: long non-coding RNA, 691 nt
Organism: Anthonomus grandis grandis
Lineage: Eukaryota; Metazoa; Arthropoda; Insecta; Coleoptera; Curculionidae
Exons: 4
Source: RefSeq, a predicted model, not a curated record
CAAACGAUCGAACGAAUAUCGGUGUUUAUUUUUUAUUUUCCGUUUAGUUUUCUGUUCUUUUGUUUGAGAAACUUUUAUUAUCGUAUACGAGAAUACGAGGCCUGUAGUUUCGUAGUCAAAAUCGUGUAUAAAAAUAGUGUAUACCGUGAGGGUUUACUGUGGCAAUGUACAUAAAUGAGGAUUGAGAGUUAGGUUUAGGAACAUUAAAUUCCAAAGAAACAUUAAGCAGGGGUAUUCUUCAGAAGACUCUGAGUUUUAUUGAAAUUUCAAAAAAGAAGAUUGUCUUGUGCGUGCUAAGGAUCUAGGUAUUAGUGUAGUUUUAGUUAUUGUGUUUAAGUUAAGUUUGAAGAGGUAUCACGUAAAAUGUCAACAAAAAAACAACCAAAAAGUAAAAGUUCACUUAGACGCAUAGUGACCAAAAAAACUGAAACAGAACUUUUGCUGACUUCAGAUGACACUCUAUGACCCUAUCCAGAGUUAUAAUUGUGAGAUGUAAUAAAAGAACCUCAAAUGUGUGUUAUGAUGAAAUAAUCAGUGAAAUAAAAAGAUGGCUGGUCAAGGCAAAGGAAAGAUUGCAAAACAAAAACAAGAAAAGUGAAAAAUUGGCUGACAAACGGAAUACACAAGAGGACAAUAAUGUAUAAAAUAUGUUGCAUUAUUUGAUUUUUAUUAAAUAAAUUUUAUAAGCAUA